Molecule: non-coding RNA, 75 nt
Organism: Oesophagostomum dentatum (nodular worm)
Lineage: Eukaryota; Metazoa; Nematoda; Chromadorea; Rhabditida; Strongylidae
Source: Rfam
CCUUCCGGUCCGGCGUCAGUGGGUUAUCGUUCAUCCCUUCGGGGAAUUUCCCAUCGGCACAACCUUGACCGCUGG